UACGGAGGAUUCAAGCGUUAUCCGGAUUUAUUGGGUUUAAAGGGUGCGUAGGCGGAACAUUAAGUCAGCGGUAAAAAUUCGGGGCUCAACCCCGUCCGGCCGUUGAAACUGGGGGCCUUGAGUGGGCGAGAAGUAUGCGGAAUGCGUGGUGUAGCGGUGAAAUGCAUAGAUAUCACGCAGAACUCCGAUUGCGAAGGCAGCAUACCGGCGCCCUACUGACGCUGAGGCACGAAAGCGUGGGUAUCGAACAGG
RNAcentral lists this ribosomal RNA (252 nucleotides) under uncultured Bacteroidales bacterium. Its description in RNAcentral is "partial 16S ribosomal RNA". It matches the Rfam family "Bacterial small subunit ribosomal RNA", at positions 524 to 776 of the family's 1533-position model. Lineage: Bacteria; Pseudomonadati; Bacteroidota; Bacteroidia; Bacteroidales. The record is from RNAcentral.